CCCUUAGAUGUCCUGGGCCGCACGCGCGCUACACUGAGUGUCUGAGAUACGAGUCUGCCUGGUCCGGCAAGGUCUAGGUAAUCGCUAAAAGACACAUCAUGCUUGGGAUAGAUUAUUGCAAAUAUUAAUCUUGAACGAGGAAUUCCUAGUAAGCGCAAGUCAACAGCUUGCGUUUAUUACGUCCCUGCCCUUUGUACACACCGCCCGUCGCUACUGCUGAUUGGAUGUUUAAGCGAGGUUCUCGAACUGCUAGCGACUUAGCUUCGGUGAGGUCGCAGUGUGGGAAGUGAACCUAGCUUUGGUGUCUAGAGGAAGUAAAAGUCGUAACA
This 329-nucleotide ribosomal RNA is filed under the name uncultured eukaryote. RNAcentral's name for it is "partial 18S ribosomal RNA". It matches the Rfam family "Eukaryotic small subunit ribosomal RNA", at positions 1470 to 1796 of the family's 1831-position model. The record is from RNAcentral.